This 211-nucleotide long non-coding RNA is filed under the name Panax ginseng (ginseng). Its description in RNAcentral is "long non-coding RNA (PGIN_LNC008877)". Lineage: Eukaryota; Viridiplantae; Streptophyta; Magnoliopsida; Apiales; Araliaceae. The record is from RNAcentral.
UUUGUGGAAUGCACCUAAGCCAGACUCUCCGUAGGGAACUCUAUAUUUGUGUGGUGGUAAAACGAUAGGUGCCAUUGUGACGUGCAAUCCAAGAUUGGGAUAUGAAUCACAUAUGAGAGCAACUUAAGUCAAUAAUCGAAAUAUCUAGCUUUCUAGGCUUAAUUGGUUACUAUCGGAGAUUCGUGGAAGGACUUUCUCGAAUCGCUACUCC